AUUGAACGCUGGCGGAAUGCUUUACACAUGCAAGUCGAACGGCAGCACGGGGCAACCUGGUGGCGAGUGGCGAACGGGUGAGUAAUACAUCGGAACGUGCCCAAUCGUGGGGGAUAACGUAGCGAAAGUUACGCUAAUACCGCAUACGAUCUACGGAUGAAAGCGGGGGAUCGCAAGACCUCGCGCGAAUGGAGCGGCCGAUGUCAGAUUAGGUAGUUGGUGGGGUAAAGGCUCACCAAGCCAACGAUCUGUAGCUGGUCUGAGAGGACGACCAGCCACACUGGGACUGAGACACGGCCCAGACUCCUACGGGAGGCAGCAGUGGGGAAUUUUGGACAAUGGGCGCAAGCCUGAUCCAGCCAUUCCGCGUGCAGGAUGAAGGCCUUCGGGUUGUAAACUGC
This 401-nucleotide ribosomal RNA is filed under the name uncultured bacterium. RNAcentral's name for it is "bacterial SSU rRNA". It matches the Rfam family "Bacterial small subunit ribosomal RNA", at positions 30 to 433 of the family's 1533-position model. The record is from RNAcentral.